UCGGGAAUAUUGCGCAAUGGAGGAAACUCUGACGCAGUGACGCCGCGUAUAGGAAGAAGGUUUUCGGAUUGUAAACUAUUGUCCACAGGGAAGAAAAAAGACUGUACCUGUGAAGAAAGCUCCGGCUAACUACGUGCCAGCAGCCGCGGUAAUACGUAGGGAGCAAGCGUUAUCCGGAUUUAUUGGGUGUAAAGGGUGCGUAGACGGGAUUACAAGUUGGUUGUGAAACCCCUCAGCUCAACUGAGGAACUGCAACCAAAACUAUAAUUCUUGAGUGCAGGAGAGGAAAGUGGAAUUCCUAGUGUAGCGGUGAAAUGCGUAGAUAUUAGGAAGAACACCGGUGGCGAAGGCGACUUUCUGGACUGUAACUGACGUUGAGGCACGAAAGUGUGGGGAGCAAACAGG
This 405-nucleotide ribosomal RNA is filed under the name uncultured bacterium. Its description in RNAcentral is "bacterial SSU rRNA". It matches the Rfam family "Bacterial small subunit ribosomal RNA", at positions 355 to 776 of the family's 1533-position model. The record is from RNAcentral.